Molecule: transfer RNA, 81 nt
Rfam family: tRNA
About the family: Transfer RNA (tRNA) molecules are approximately 80 nucleotides in length. Their secondary structure includes four short double-helical elements and three loops (D, anti-codon, and T loops).
Source: Rfam
GGGGGAUUAGCGAAGUGGCUAAACGCGACGGUCUGUAAAACCGUUCCUUCGGGUUCCUAGGUUCGAAUCCUAGAUCCCCCA